This 821-nucleotide ribosomal RNA is filed under the name uncultured bacterium. Its description in RNAcentral is "bacterial SSU rRNA". It matches the Rfam family "Bacterial small subunit ribosomal RNA", at positions 1 to 815 of the family's 1533-position model. The record is from RNAcentral.
GAAUUCGCCCUUAGAGUUUGAUCCUGGCUCAGGACGAACUCUGGCGGCGUGCUUAACACAUGCAAGUCGAACGAGAAUCUAUGGAUCAAGGAUUCGUCCAAGUGAAAUAGAGGAAAGUGGCGGACGGGUGAGUAACGCGUGAGGAACCUGCCUUUCAGAGGGGGACAACAGUUGGAAACGACUGCUAAUACCGCAUAACGUAUAGAGGUCGCAUGAUUUCUAUACCAAAGAUUUAUCGCUGAAAGAUGGCCUCGCGUCUGAUUAGCUGGUUGGUGAGGUAACGGCCCACCAAGGCGACGAUCAGUAGCCGGACUGAGAGGUUGAACGGCCACAUUGGGACUGAGAUACGGCCCAGACUCCUACGGGAGGCAGCAGUGGGGAAUAUUGGGCAAUGGGCGAAAGCCUGACCCAGCAACGCCGCGUGAAGGAAGAAGGUCUUCGGAUUGUAAACUUCUUUUAUGAGGGACGAAGGACGUGACGGUACCUCAUGAAUAAGCCACGGCUAACUACGUGCCAGCAGCCGCGGUAAUACGUAGGUGGCGAGCGUUAUCCGGAUUUACUGGGUGUAAAGGGCGCGUAGGCGGUUCGGCAAGUCAGGUGUGAAAUCCAUGGGCUCAACCCAUGAACUGCACUUGAAACUGUCGGACUUGAGUGCUGGAGAGGUAGACGGAAUUCCUUGUGUAGCGGUGAAAUGCGUAGAUAUAAGGAAGAACACCAGUGGCGAAGGCGGUCUACUGGACAGUAACUGACGCUGAGGCGCGAAAGCGUGGGGAGCAAACAGGAUUAGAUACCCUGGUAGUCCACGCUGUAAACGAUGAAUA